GACGAACGCUGGCGGCGUGCUUAACACAUGCAAGUCGAACGGAAAGGCCCUGCUUUUGUGGGGUGCUCGAGUGGCGAACGGGUGAGUAACACGUGAGUAACCUGCCCUUGACUUUGGGAUAACUUCAGGAAACUGGGGGUAAUACCGGAUAGGAGCUCCUGCUGCCUGGUGGGGGUUGGAAAGUUUCGGCGGUUGGGGAUGGACUCGCGGCUUAUCAGCUUGUUGGUGGGGUAGUGGCUUACCAAGGCUUUGACGGGUAGCCGGCCUGAGAGGGUGACCGGCCACAUUGGGACUGAGAUACGGCCCAGACUCCUACGGGAGGCAGCAGUGGGGAAUAUUGCACAAUGGGCGGAAGCCUGAUGCAGCAACGCCGCGUGCGGGAUGACGGCCUUCGGGUUGUAAACCGCUUUCGCCUGUGACGAAGCGUGAGUGACGGUAAUGGGUAAAGAAGCACCGGCUAACUACGUG
This 468-nucleotide ribosomal RNA is filed under the name uncultured bacterium. RNAcentral's name for it is "partial 16S ribosomal RNA". It matches the Rfam family "Bacterial small subunit ribosomal RNA", at positions 28 to 507 of the family's 1533-position model. The record is from RNAcentral.